AACCCAUGGUGAGGGCACCUUAUCAAAAGGUCCUUGCAUCUCUCCCAUGCAUCGUGGAGUGUUUCUAAAUACAUCUCACAAAAGAAUAGAUAUCAUUAUGUAAUU
This 105-nucleotide small nucleolar RNA is filed under the name Gossypium arboreum. Its description in RNAcentral is "Plant small nucleolar RNA R71". It matches the Rfam family "Plant small nucleolar RNA R71". Rfam says of the family: R71 is a member of the C/D box family of snoRNAs containing the C (UGAUGA) and D (CUGA) box motifs. Multiple nearly identical copies of this snoRNA have been identified in Arabidopsis, and it is thought to function as a 2'-O-ribose methylation guide for 18S ribosomal RNA. Lineage: Eukaryota; Viridiplantae; Streptophyta; Magnoliopsida; Malvales; Malvaceae. The record is from Rfam by way of RNAcentral.